AGUAUGUACCGAUGCUCUUGCAGAGGCUGGGAGAGGAUAUUAGACUGGCUGAAAGACAAGAAUUCUGGGAGAAUAUCUGGGACAAAGUGGAGUUAGUCUGAAUACAUGUUUCAGACUUGUUUUGAAGGGGACAACCUGCCAGGCGUUGAUGUGGACAGUAUGACUUCUGGACUCAAUGCUAAAAUAUAGCUGGCCAUGAGGAAGUGCCAAACAUCAUGUGAACAUCACAAAACAGUGGGUCUUGUUCUCCUUUCAGAUUUCAGAAAUAUUCCAUUUGGAGGCUUCUAGCCAAAUUUAUUCAUGUUGUCUUCACACUCAGGGGAAGUUCAGGAUUUUCUCCUAGAGUUUUUCCACAUGGGCGUAGAGGACAUCUGUCACCUCUGAGGUUGCUUGCCCCAGAAAUACUCUGCCCUGCCCUGUGGAAGGUAUGUUGCAGAAAAAUUACCCAUCAUAUGGCAUUAAAACCACUUCAUGGGAUUUUGUAUCCAAUUACCUGGAAAAUCAAGAGUUCAAAUAUAGUGCCUGAGAAAGGACUAAGAAAGAGGAAAUUGUUAAAUUAUGCAAUUAUAUUAAGAAUUAACAACUGUAAAAUAAAUUUGAAAUUACUUCAACACCUGUGUGACCUUUUCUGUAAAAACUAUAUAUAUGUACAUAUUUAUAUAGAAUAUAUGUAAAAUAAAUGU
Non-coding RNA from Phalacrocorax carbo (great cormorant), 683 nucleotides. The record is from RefSeq and is a predicted model, not a curated record. NCBI's taxonomy places the organism in Eukaryota, Metazoa, Chordata, Aves, Suliformes, Phalacrocoracidae.